This 423-nucleotide ribosomal RNA is filed under the name uncultured bacterium. RNAcentral describes it as "bacterial SSU rRNA". It matches the Rfam family "Bacterial small subunit ribosomal RNA", at positions 358 to 773 of the family's 1533-position model. The record is from RNAcentral.
GGAAUAUUGGACAAUGGGCGAAAGCCUGAUCCAGCGACGCCGCGUGUGUGAAGAAGGCCUGCGGGUUGUAAAGCACUUUCGAUGGGAACGAAAUGUGCCGGGCUAAUACCCCGGCAAGCUGACGUUACUCAAUGAAGAAGCACCGGCUAACUCUGUGCCAGCAGCCGCGGUAAUACAGAGGGUGCGAGCGUUAAUCGGAAUUACUGGGCGUAAAGCGCACGUAGGUGGCGACGUAAGUCGGGUGUGAAAGCCCCGGGCUCAACCUGGGAAUUGCAUUCGAGACUGCAUUGCUGGAGUACGGAAGAGGAGGGCGGAAUUCCCGGUGUAGCAGUGAAAUGCGUAGAUAUCGGGAGGAACAUCCGUGGCGAAGGCGGCUACCUGGACCAGCACUGACACUGAGGCACGAAAGCGUGGGGAGCAAAC